RNAcentral lists this long non-coding RNA (1270 nucleotides) under Carassius auratus (goldfish). RNAcentral's name for it is "lncRNA (ENSCARG00000065973.1)". The record is from RNAcentral. Lineage: Eukaryota; Metazoa; Chordata; Actinopteri; Cypriniformes; Cyprinidae.
AUCUAUACCGUGACUCGAACUCUGUGCUGCCCUGACUGGCGCUCAGCUGGCUGCCACUCUGAGAAAAGAACUGACCAUCAAAAUUGAUCGAGAAUUAUACUGGACUGACUCCACAACUGUAUUGACUUGGCUUCAGUCGGACUCAUGUAACUACAAGGUGUUUGUCGGAACGCGGGUGGCUGAGAUACAGGAUCUUACAUACCCAAAAGCCUGGUGCUAUAUCAAUUCAGAGCUGAACCCAGCUGACGACAUUACCAGCAGCCUCACUCUCUCUAAACUUACAACACAAAGCCGCUGGAAUCAAGGUCCACAGUUCUUAACUCAGCCAGUUAGUAUUUGGGCCAAACAGCCACUUGAGGCUGUAGGUGAUGAUUUUCAAGAACACCGCAGUUCUACUUUUUGUGGAGCGCUAUCCUCCAGCCAAACUGAUAUUCCAGAUAUCUCUCAAUACAAUUCACUUCAAGAUCUGAUUAAGGCUACUGCUAUUUACCUUCAUGGGGCGGCAGACGAAAGUGAACUCUCUGCUGAUGACUACACACAAGCUGAACAGGAACUUCUGAGACGUGCUCAAGUUGAAAGCUUCCCAGAAGAAACAUCCCAACUUCAGUUAGGUAAACCUAUAUCUCACUCUAGUCGUCUUCUUACUCUAGCCCCAGAAUAUGAUCACAAGGCCAGAUUAGUCAGAGUAGGUGGACGCCUCCGCAGAUGUAAGCACUUGGAUGCAAACACUCUCCACCCCAUUGUCUUAGAUCCUGCUCACCCUCUUGUAAAGCUUCUGAUACAACAUUACGACAACCUCCUGUCUCAUUCAGGACCCGAGCGUGUGUUCGCAGAACUGAGACGGAAAUAUUGGAGCAUAAGAGGCAGAGAGGCAGUCAAAAAACACCAACGCAGCUGCUUUGAAUGUAAGAAAUGGCGAGGGAAGCCAGAAAACCCCAUGAUGGCAGAUCUUCCCCAGUCUAAUCUUAGACUGUUUUGUCCAGCUUUCUAUUCGACAGGCGUUGAUUGUUUUCGUCCAUUCCAGGUUAAGUUCGGACGCAGAUGUGAAAAACGUUGGGGAAUACUGUACAAGUGCCUUACUACCAAAGCUGUUCAUAUUGAACUUCUAUCGAGCAUUGACACAGACUCCUUUCUUAUUUCGUUAAGAAGGUUCAUAGCUCGCAGAGGGAAACCAUAUGAAGUGCUUUCUGACCAUGGUACAAACUUCAGGGGAGGUAACACAGAACUCCAGAGUGCCUUUGGUAGACUUCACCCAGCCUUGAAAGAACAU